UCCGCAUAUUUUAUAUGCAACUUUAGUGUCAGAUAUAAUGUGUGCCGUGCACUCCAGAUGUUGAUGUAAUUUUUUUGUGUGUGUAUUGAGCAGAGAAGAGAGUUAGCAUCAAGAAAAUGUUAGCUUUAAUGUAAAUUAGCAGUGCUAACCGAGCUAGCUGCUCAGUCGUAGCCUGAUUAAAGCUAACGUAGCAUUAAGCUAAUGAUGUUUGUGUUGUUUUAUGUAAACAGCUGAAGUGUGUUGUGUUAGUGUAAUGUGAUACAUUUCCUUAACAAAACUGUCAGUGGAGAUACUGGUUCACAUCAAUGUAACAUUUAGAAAACCUAAAUAUGAUUAAAACAGUGAGGUUAAGGUUCUGUGUUGUCAGUAGUCCUGAAUAUCUGCUGAGUCUCUGAAGUUAAACUGGAGAAAACAGUAAAUCUACUCUCUAGUCGUUGUAAAUGUCGGAUAAAUUGUAUUAUUAUUCUCCUGCACAGUAUUGUUUAUGUAUUAAGAAGAUAUUGUAGUCCUGCAGUGCCACCUUGUGGUCUGUUCCGCUUUUAUUUUGUUAAGGGCGCGUUUCUUCUUCUUCGGCGGUUUUUGUGACGCCGAACUUCCUGUUUUUUUUGUCUAAACAACAUUGUGCUCACGCAUCGUCGGAGAAACGCUCUGAACAGCGACGUGUGUGUGUGUAUAUCGAGCUGGAGAGCAUGCUAGCUGAUGGCUAACACUUAAAUUAGCGCCCUUGGAACGGCGGAAUGAGGUAUGAAAAUGUUAAAUAUGCAUUAUUAUCAGAUGAGUUGCGUUUAUUUGUAUUAGAUGUAAAUAUGAUUUAUAUGUGAGUUGUUUGUGAUACUACAGUGAGGCAUUUGUAAUCUGUUUAAUUCUGUAGUUUUCACGGUGCUUAUGGUACACGGUGCUUGUCGAGAGUGAGAAUAAAUCAACACCACUUUGAAACUCUCUCCGUCUUGCUGAGUGAAUCCAAGGGGCCGCUACAGUCGUUAACAUUGUUUAAUGACUGAUUCACAUGUUGUAGUACUUCUUACUUAGCGUAGAUUGGAAAAAUGAACCCAGAAUAUGACCAAAGUCAUGAUGAACACUACAGUUAUUACAUUUAAAUUGCAGCACAGAUAAGCUGGAUAAUAAAAUCCUCUCCCCUAAAGCUGAAGUGACUACAGGCCUUUCAGUUCUUGUAAAACUAUAUGAAAUAGGAAAUCUUUCCAGAGUCACUUUAAAAUGAACCUCUGCUGUUGAUACUGAUGCUGUGAGGAUCUUCUAAGGGAAGCCAACAGAAGGAAAACCUCAUCUGGUUGUGAAGAAGGAGACUGAAUGGAUGACAUCCUCAGUGAAUCAUAUCCAGUUUAGCUUUCACUCACAUAAGUUCAGACCAACUCUUUAAGCAGUUUAUUAUUCUCUGUUCUUAGUAUUCACACGUUCCAUUCUUCACCUUUAACUUCAUCUCUGCUGUUGUAGCAGAAAUACAAUAUUAAAAGUCCAUGUUAUUUAUAGCAGAUAUGCUGCAUUAAAACAUCAACACAUUCAGGGCAGGAGCUUCAUUAUUUCCUUUAUUGCACAUUUAAAAACUACAUUAUUUAACAAAUCUGAACUGUAAAGAUGUGUAAACGCAUGCAAUAAAUGGCUCUUCAGACAACCACAGCUGGAUGUUCAUGUUCUCUGGAGCUUAGUCCACAUCAGACUAGAUGUUCGCAAUGAUCCAGACCAAGGCUAGAAGGAAAAGACACUAACAGUGAGAGCUCAGAUAUUAACUUAGAACUGAACUGAGAUGAACAUUCAUCAGUAACAGAGUUCUGUGCAGAAACAUUAAUGUAGAUUUAUUUAUAUCUGUUGAUCGUUAACGAACAGCACAUGGAGACAGCAGUUGUCGAUCCGUUAUGAUUGAUCAGCUCUGACCUGCAGGACACUUAGCUACAGCUAACAGGUGGUUAAUGAGUAAACCAUGAAACAUGAUUGCACAGGUUGAUGUCUCAUUAUAUUUUUACAUCCUUGUAUCACAAAUCAAAUUUCAUUCAAGGGCUGAAGACGUGUGUCAG
This is a long non-coding RNA of Amphiprion ocellaris (clown anemonefish), 2030 nucleotides long. NCBI's taxonomy places the organism in Eukaryota, Metazoa, Chordata, Actinopteri, Pomacentridae. The record is from Ensembl.